RNAcentral lists this small nuclear RNA (98 nucleotides) under Notechis scutatus (mainland tiger snake). The record is from RNAcentral. Lineage: Eukaryota; Metazoa; Chordata; Lepidosauria; Squamata; Elapidae.
GUCCAGAUUCGGCAGCACAUAUACUAAAAUUGGAACGAUACAGAGAAGAUUAGCAUGGUUUCACAUAUCACACUAAGGCAGAAGUUCCCAGAUGUUUU